AGAGAAGGCGGGGGGCAGGCCUAACACAUGCAAGUCGAACGAACCUUUCGGGGUUAGUGGCGGACGGGUGAGUAACACGUGGGAACGUGCCUUUAGGUUCGGAAUAACUCAGGGAAACUUGUGCUAAUACCGAAUGUGCCCUUCGGGGGAAAGAUUUAUCGCCUUUAGAGCGGCCCGCGUCUGAUUAGCUAGUUGGUUGAGGUAAUGGCUCACCAAGGCGACGAUCAGUAGCUGGUCUGAGAGGAUGAUCAGCCACAUUGGGACUGAGACACGGCCCAAACUCCUACGGGAGGCAGCAGUGGGGAAUCUUGCGCAAUGGGCGAAAGCCUGACGCAGCCAUGCCGCGUGAAUGAUGAAGGUCUUAGGAUUGUAAAAUUCUUUCACCGGGGACGAUAAUGACGGUACCCGGAGAAGAAGCCCCGGCUAACUUCGUG
This 434-nucleotide ribosomal RNA is filed under the name uncultured bacterium. RNAcentral's name for it is "partial 16S ribosomal RNA". It matches the Rfam family "Bacterial small subunit ribosomal RNA", at positions 31 to 507 of the family's 1533-position model. The record is from RNAcentral.